AACCUCCGCAAUGUGAGAAAUCGCGACGGGGGGAUCCCAAGUGCCAUUCUUAACGGGAUGGCUUUUCUUAAGUGUAAAAAGCUUUUGGAAUAAGAGCUGGGCAAGACCGGUGCCAGCCGCCGCGGUAACACCGGCAGCUCUAGUGGUAGCUGUUUUAUUGGGCCUAAAGCGUUCGUAGCCGGUUUGAUAAGUCACUGGUGAAAUCCUGUAGCUUAACUGUGGGAAUUGCUGGUGAUACUGUUGAACUUGAGGUCGGGAGAGGUUAGCGGUACUCCCAGGGUAGAGGUGAAAUUCUGUAAUCCUGGGAGGACCACCUGUGGCGAAGGCGGCUAACUGGAACGAACCUGACGGUGAGGGGCGAAAGCUAGGGGCGCGAACCGGAUUAGAUACCCGGGUAGUCCUAGCCGUAAACGAUGCGGACUUGGUGUUGGGAUGGCUUUGAGCCGCUCCGGUGCCGAAGGGAGCUGUUAAGUCCGCCGCCUGGGAAGUACGGUCGCAAGACUGAACUUAAGGAAUU
RNAcentral lists this ribosomal RNA (517 nucleotides) under uncultured bacterium. RNAcentral's name for it is "bacterial SSU rRNA". It matches the Rfam family "Archaeal small subunit ribosomal RNA", at positions 345 to 866 of the family's 1478-position model. The record is from RNAcentral.